AUGAUGUACAUGCAUCUGCAUGCUCAGGGCCUAGGAGCAAUGUGGCAUAGGUUGGAUAAUCAGCAGUUGUUCGUCGGGCGGGCCAACAAGCGUUUCAAGCUAGAUGCAUGCACUGGCCAUAUGGGAUGGGAAAAACUAGGAUUUGCACGAAGAAGGACAUGCCACAAGAACCCGCAAAAGAAGAACAAGAAGGACGUGACACGUGAUGAGAUCUACAGUACGAGACUACGAGCUCCUCCACGACAGUCCACACCAACACCAAACCACGGUGGUCGCCGAUCGACCCGGCCACGCCUGAGAGCAGCAUCUUGCCGGAGACAUGGCGUCCGCUCCUGCGGCGGUUCCCCGCAUGAAGCUGGGCUCUCAGGGAAUGGAGAUCUCGGCUGCAUGGGCAUGUCCGCCUUCUACGGCGCGCCCAAGCCCGAGCCCGACAUGGUCGCGCUCAUCCAUCACGCCGUCGCCACCGGAAUCACCUUUCUCGACACCUCCGACAUGUACGGGCCGCACACCAACGAGAUUCUACUCGGCAAGGUUGGUCCUAGAUUCCUAGAAGCUAGACUAAUUAGUCGGAGUCUGUUUCACCGACGUGCACUCAAGGUGUUCGAUGUAAUGCUCCUCGCAGGCGUUGCAAGACAACAAGUGGAACAUCCAGGGGGAUCCAGCGUAGUGCGCGCGGCUUGCGAGGGCCGCCUCAAGCGGCUGGGUGUCGACUGUAUUGAUCUCUACUACCAGCACCGCAUCGACAAAAAUGUGCCCAUCGAGGUCACGGUGAGUGUCACACCCCCACUUAUCUAUUUUGUUAGCUACAACGAAAAGGUGAUGCUGGACCCAGAAACAACUCACAUGAGUGAUCACCUGUCUCCUCUCAUUUUUAAGAUCAGCAAACUCAAAAUGUUUAGCUGA
This 903-nucleotide ribosomal RNA is filed under the name Triticum aestivum (bread wheat). RNAcentral describes it as "partial small subunit ribosomal RNA". The record is from RNAcentral. Lineage: Eukaryota; Viridiplantae; Streptophyta; Magnoliopsida; Poales; Poaceae.